Molecule: ribosomal RNA, 362 nt
Filed under: Prevotella sp. OH937_COT-195
Lineage: Bacteria; Pseudomonadati; Bacteroidota; Bacteroidia; Bacteroidales; Prevotellaceae
Description: bacterial SSU rRNA
Rfam family: Bacterial small subunit ribosomal RNA
Source: RNAcentral
GGAGGAAACUCUGAUGCAGCAAUGCCGCGUGAAGGAAGACGGUUUUCGGAUUGUAAACUUCUAUCAGCAGGGAAGAAAAUGACGGUACCUGACUAAGAAGCCCCGGCUAACUAUGUGCCAGCAGCCGCGGUAAUACAUAGGGGGCAAGCGUUAUCCGGAAUGACUGGGUGUAAAGGGUGCGUAGGCGGUAAGAUAAGUCUGAUGUGAAAGACUGGGGCUCAACUCCAGGGGUGCAUUGGAAACUAUGUUACUAGAGUACAGGAGAGGAAAGCGGAAUUCCUAGUGUAGCGGUGAAAUGCGUAGAUAUUAGGAGGAACACCGGUGGCGAAGGCGGCUUUCUGGACUGAAACUGACGCUGAGGC